GCUCUGCUGAUAUCGUCUUUAACAGCAGUGUUUUCUCCCAGGUCUUCUUCAAGCCAGUUAAGAGAGGAAGAACAGCUUAGACACUCAGGCAGCUGAACGCACCAAAGAUGGACAUCAUGCAGCCACCCUGAGCCUUGAGCCUCUCUGUGCUCUUUGCUGCUGCAGACCUGGUGAAGUUGCUCUGGACAGAAAUAUUUUUUGCUCUGCUGCAGUGCUGAAGGUAUUCAUUGUAAUGAUGUGUGUAUUUAUUCAACGUGUUUAGUUUCACAGAUUGUCAACACAAAUGUUUCUGUUUAUUUCCUGUUUUGAACCAGCUACAUUCUCCUGCUUCAAGUCACUGUCUGUUCAUCCACGGUGUAGCCAGUGCAGCUCAGCAGAGUCCUAAUAAUGGUGAUCCUUCAAGUCCUGCGAAGCAAGCUGCAGCAGAUGUCAUCACAUUCAGAUCAUCAUUUUUAUCUUUACUGCAGCUUUAAAGUUUCCCUGAGGUAACGGUGUAUUUCCUUGCCCCAUAACAAAAACCAUGUUUGACCAACAUAGAAAAGCACAGAAUUACUGUUAGCACAGGAUUACAGAGUUAAAGUGAAGGGGAUUUUGUUUGUUUUUUUCAGACCUCUCCUCCUCCUCCUGCCUCUGACUCCAGUGAUGCUGUCAACUCGAACACUGAUAACUGCACACGGCGAUUCUACAACCACAGGUCAAAGGUCAAAACAUUACCUCAC
Molecule: long non-coding RNA, 719 nt
Filed under: Xyrichtys novacula (pearly razorfish)
Lineage: Eukaryota; Metazoa; Chordata; Actinopteri; Labriformes; Labridae
Source: RNAcentral